RNAcentral lists this long non-coding RNA (4560 nucleotides) under Centruroides sculpturatus (bark scorpion). Its description in RNAcentral is "uncharacterized LOC111623702". Lineage: Eukaryota; Metazoa; Arthropoda; Arachnida; Scorpiones; Buthidae. The record is from RNAcentral.
CUGCACUAAACUAUUGUGGCGGUACGCUAUAUUUUUGUAAAUAUUAAUUUUAGUUUAGUUUCGUUUCUUCUUUCUACCCUUUGUUCUAUUGUUCUAUUUUCUUCUAAAACUUUCUUAUCUAUUCUCUGUCCCUUGGCUGGGAUAAGCAGUUCCUAGAACUUUGAGGAGCAAAGGUGUAAACAGAAGCCGGAGAAAAAAAAGAAGUGACGUAGCAGAUCAUUCGUAAACUGGACAGCAGAGUGUACGGACGAGGUGAGAAUACUGGGAGUCGUAUUUUCAAUGACCGGAUAGUUCAGAAAAAAGAUCGUGUUUUAAGGUCGUAUUGACGACUGUGGAAGAAAAAAUCCUAAUUAUUGAAGAAGAGAACUGGCCAGUUAUAAGAGAAGGGCGUGUGUUAUCCCACCCAACAGUAUGCAUAAAGAAACAAGCCGAAAAAAGGGACAAAACCCCAGAUAUCUCUAUUUCUAUCUUAUCUAUCAUUUUUUCUGUCUUCUUAAUUCUAUCCCUUUUUCUGUUAUUAGUGUUAAGUUAGUGUUUAAGGUUAGUUUUAAGGUUCCGGGUUAUAUUGUCGCUAUCGGGAUCUGUAUUGUACACGUGCUUUGGAUACAGCGAACUAUUAUUAUCGCUGUAAUUUCGCAUGCUACUGUUUGUACUGUGAAGUUGGAAUCCCCCGAAAUAGAAUCUGUAUAAAGACGUGAAAUAGCUUAAUUGGAAAAUUAUAUUCAACUUUUGUUACUUUAUCCUGUUUGCCUUUGUGGUGAAUUCUAAUUUAGCACACUUUUACACCAUAAACAAAAACACGCGCAGUGCAAGUCAAAACACGUUGCGUUAUAAACGCAAAGCGUCAACUAUUGGUCCAAGGUCACACGCACUGGUGUCGACUGAGUACAAAAGUUGAGAUCCGUAUCCGUAUCCGCGGAUCUAGACACUAAUGAUCCGUAUCCGCGGAUAUACAUUUUUAACGAUCCGGCACAUCACUAGUAUAUAUGUUGUAUUACCAGUCUCCAAAAAUUUUUUCAACAGUAAAAUUAUAUAGUAUUUCUUUUAAACUAUCAAAAAUUAAAGUUUUUGCAUUAGAUGAGUGCUAGCUCUGUCAUUUUUAGAAUAGAUAGAUUAACGUAUAUUAUUUUUACUGUAAAAAGGUAGCUGCUGUAAUGAUGACUUUAUAACUUUCUAAGCACAAACAAUAAUAUCGGAGUUGAAAUUGCUAUUUCUAAGAGUAGCAGAGGAUAUACUGUAGUUAUAAACAUGAAAAACGAUCAUGUAAUCAACGUUAAGAAGGAAAGGACUGAUUUGGAUUCAUUGAUAACCUGAUUAGGGGACAACAUGAUGAUGAAAGUCACAGAUUUUGAUUGAACUCUGAAUAUAUAGUGCAUUACCAACAACUGUCAUGUGCCAAGUAGUAAGACACUUCAAAGAAAAAAGAUAGGUUAAAAAUUGCAUAAUUACUUAAAAUCUGCAUUUCUAUCACUUGUAGAAUGGCUGGUGGCUCUGAGGCAUGCAAGUAAUCAGGUGGUCUGUGUUCCUCAUCAGUAUUGGUGGGUUUUUUCUACUGAAAGCAAUAAUUUUUACUUUAUUCUUGGUAUUUUUAAAUUUAUUAUAUUGCCAGGGAGAAAUCUGAUCUAUUUAUAGAAAACUACAAAUGUACAUAAUUAUCUACGUUUUCUAAAAAAAAAAAAAAAAAAACAAAGAAGAUAGCUUUGACAUCUCAUAAUAACAUUGAUCAUAGAAAUGUGUUCUGUAGAAGAAUCAUUGUAUGAAGAUAUUGCAGAAUUAUGUUUAAAGACUGCUUUCAUAUAUUAUGAAUUGUAAAUAUUACCAUUUUCAAAAGUAAAUUAUAAAUAAAUAAAUGUUAUGUACAAAUCCUUUACAUAUAUGAAUAUUCAAAAAUAAUUUUAAAAUAAAUAUGAUAAAUUUAAAAUACCAAGAAUAAAGUAAAAAUGAUAGUUUUCAGGGGAAAAAAUAACUCUGUGUUUCAAAUCUCUUCAGUAUCAAUCUCCUGAUUACAAAAUCAGUGUACCCCGUGGAACCAUCAGCCAUUCUACAAAUGAUAGAAAUGCUACAGGUUUUAAGUGAUUAUGCAAUUUUCAACUUCAGUUUUCUUGUUUAAUUUUGAGUAGUGCUCCCUACUGCUUGGCACAUGUCAGUGAUGCACUAUAUCCUCAUUGAAUUUGAUCAAAAUUGGUUACUCUAAUGCCAUGUUGUCUCCUUGUGAGAUGUACAGAACCUGAAUAUUAUUUUUCCAAGAUAUGAACCACAAUCACCUUGCUGGAAGACUGUAUACAUUACUCAAUAUAACGUAUGAAUCUUUUUAUUUUUUAUUGUCAUUAUUUUAUUUUUAUUAUUUGUUUCAUAUAAGCAUGCGAUCCUAUGUUUACAGUAAAUUUUUCAAAUUCCCACUUAAUUAAUGUUCCUUGUGCUUAAACAGAAUAUCUAUUGUACAACAUUGAGGUUGCUUAAGUUGCAAUCUAUCAUUUAUUCCAGUCAGAUAUAUGAGAAACUACAAUCUCAAAUGAAGUAUUUUUACCUUACAUUAUAUAUAUUAAUUGCUUUUUUAAUUGGCAUAUUGAGAUGAAUGCCUGACUCAAUUUAUCUCUAAGACUCUCAAGAUCUCACUUCUCUCAGAGAAGCUUCCUUAUUGGAAUGACUGAGAUGAACAUGAAACUCUGAUUCAAUUUGUCCUUGAUUGAUCAAGAUCUUGUGUACUCUGUCAAUCUUCUUGCUUCUUCCAUUUUUAUUUGAACCUUUGACCAUUGGACAAAUUAGCAUCCAAGACAGAUGAAAGGACUACAGUGCUGGGGUCCAAAUGCACAUGUUACCUGCUCACUGCUUUAUAAAAAAUGGCUUUAGGGUGAUAAAAUCAGGUUCAAUAAAAUAUUGGUUUGGUUUUUUUUUUUAACUAUUCUAAGGAUUGAUAAAAUUAGGCCUAACAAAUUAUAUCAAACAAUUGAGCAGUCAAACCAAAUUCAAACUCCCAAGUCUUGACAAUUAGAGAUUAUAUUUCAUGUGAAAAAAAUAGAAAUGAAUGUAUUUUAUGAGUAUUUAUUGUAAUCCUGGAAUCGUUUUAAGUUAUUUAAUGUUACAUAUUUAGGAUAUCCUAAUUCUGAUGAAUUAAAAUAUAAUUUAAAAAGCUGCAAAUUCAAAAGUAAAUCUUUACUAUUAACGCAAUAAAAAUAAAUGUUUAAAUUAAAAAACUAUUCAAAGUGGUCGGAAAUUUCAAUUUAAAAAAUAUAUAAAAUAUGAGGAAAACCCAUUCUGAUUGUUAACAUACAUUAUGAAAAACUACAAGAGAAUGAACACUUAAGUAAACCUGUGUAAUUUUUUGUACUGUUUUAAUUUAUUGUUUGUUGCAUUUUUAUUAUAAGUAGUAUUAUACAUUUGUAUUCAAAAUUAAAGCUACACACACAAAUGUAUAUGGCAAAAAUGCAGAAAUUAAUGGCCCUCUAUUACAAUGAAUCUUUCAAAUUCCUUCUUUUACUAAUGUAUUAAGAACACUUUCUCACUGUUAAGUCCUAGUAGAUGUCAGAAACAAUUUUGUUGUAUACAUAGUGCAUUACAUUUUGUUGCAUGGGUACAAUGCUAUCAUGCCUCAUUUGCAUGACAUGCAUAAUAAGAUGACACCUUGCUGAUUUACACAUGUAAGUUUUAGCUAGUCAUAUUUUCUGGUGUUGAUUUUACAUAAGACUUGUGUUUGUUGCUUUAAUUUUGGACACCAAAUAUAAUAAGACUAUAUAAAUACAGUAUUAAUAUCCAUUUAUUUUUGUUAUAAUUGAAGUGAAGCAUUACUGAAUCCUCUUCUAUAUGGGUUACAGAAUUGCAUUCAUUCUCAAAAUCUGAUGGGCCAGUUUUGAUAAAACCUUGCAUUUUCCAUUAAUUGUAGUGAGGAAUCCAAAAAUAUAAUAAAAAAGGAGGUCUGCAACACUGUUUCUAAGAAACAUUAGGUCAAAGUGACAAUGUCCAUGCUCUUUUAUGUGAUUGAGUGCACCUAACAAUUUAGGAAGCAAAAAUAAAAAAAAACAGCCUUACACCUAAUGGAAAAGGAUGCCAAAUGGAAAGUUUUUGAGUUAAUGUGUACCCAAGAUACAAAAUCAACAUAAUUUGUAAUGCCCUAAUUAUUUUUUGUUUCAAAAUAAAAAAAAAUCAUAUAUUUUCAAACAUUAUUGAUGUUAGGCAAUGGAUUGAUUGCAAUUUAUACAUAUUCUUGUCACUUUCUUAUGACAAGAUGGUCUAAAAAAUCCCUCACAGAAAACAGCAAUGUUACAUUUUACAGCAUUUUCAACUUCAUUUAUCCAAGUCUUUUGCCAUGAAAGAAAUACUUUAUCACAAACAUAGCAAUGCAAGUUAUUUCUGAAAACCAUGUGAAGGUAUUUGAGAAUUAUGGAAGUUAAAAUGAUUAAUGUUUAUAAGAAAGAAUUAUCAAUUUCUCCUUUAUUCUAUCUUAUAUAUAUGAGAUAUUAAACAGUGUAAUGUAAUUUUAUAUUAACUAGAUCAAUAAAAAAAAAGAAAAUAUAGGCAUUUACCAAUAUGAAUGAAACUCAGAGAAAACGAGUACUUAUUUAU